This 1705-nucleotide long non-coding RNA is filed under the name Homo sapiens (human). RNAcentral's name for it is "PREDICTED lncRNA (TCONS_00133669)". The record is from RNAcentral. Lineage: Eukaryota; Metazoa; Chordata; Mammalia; Primates; Hominidae.
AAAAAUGCUACAAGAUAGCAUCCAAAAAGCUUUUCUAGACAUUGGCUUAGGCCAAGUAGUCAUGACUAAUGCCCCAAAAGCAAACGCAAAAAUAUAAAAAUAGAAUAAGAUCAAUAGGACCUAAUGAAACCGAAAAUCUUCUGCAAGGCAGAAGAAAUAUCAGCAGGGUAAACACACAACCCACAGUAUAGGAAACAGUAGUCACAAACUAGGCAUCUGACAAAGGACUAAUGUCCAGACUCCAAAGGAACUGAAAGAAAUCAGCAAGAAGAAAAGGUGCCAUUUACCACCUUCCUGACUCAUUGGCCAGAACCAAUGUUAGUGGAAUUAACAUAUGCCCCACCCCAAGUGACUUCUAAAGGGCUAACUCACCACAAGGGAGUCAGAGCAGAUCUUGGACUGAGACCUACAGGACACAGCGACUCUUAAAUAGGUGGCUCACCAGGAGAAAGGCAUAGCAGAACCUGGACUGAGACCUACGGGAGACAGGUAUUGCUUUUUCUCUUCUAAUCAUUUUAAAUUUAAUUUACCAUCUUUCAUCAAAUAGCUCCGAUCAUAUCAUUAUUUUUUCUUUUCUGUUUUGUUGGUGGUUUUAUUGGUGGAGUUUUAUUUUACUAUUUUAGAAAAGCAGUCUUUUAAAAAAGACUUUUAAAAAGUUUUAUUACUCUUUUUUUUAAAAAAAUUAUGUUUUCCCUUGAUGUGCUUAUUUCCUUUAUAAAGAUCAUCACCAUUAAAUUACUAGGAGAUACUGCGGCUGAUUUUGUCAUGCGUGAGAUAAGAAAUUUUUUGCCAAAGCAAUUAGUGAUGAGUGCAAUGGAAAAAUCCGUGAUGAUCUUUUAAGAUGAUUAACUUUCUAAUCCAGAAAAUGCUGCUGUUUGUACUGAACAAAAUAGCUUUAUUUUUAUAUGACCAGGGGUACAUAAAAUGCUUCAAAACAACACAUAAUUUGGCAAAAAUACUAUGUCUUGCCAGCCAGAAGAAUAAGUGUGGUUUUAUUUCUAUGUAUAUGUCUAGUACCAUGCCUGCACUAGAGUUGGGAAAUUUUAAAAACAUCACCUAUUGAUACAGAAGAGAAGUGCUGGGAAGGGAAGGGCAUGGUCCCUUUGAAUGAUACAGAAAAGGUGAAGGAAAGUGAUGGGUAGAGGAGGCCGGGGUCCCUGGCUAGGGCUCCAAACCUGGGCUUGUGCCCCUGGACCUAGAUGAGGACAGGCAUUUUUGUUUUCCUGACCAAAUGUUGCAUUUCCCAAGAUCACCCUGGCCCACCAUGCCCUAUCCUGUGCCUAAAAAAACCCUGGGACCCUAGCAGGCAGACACACAGGAGGUUGGACGUCGAGAGGAGCACAUCAGUGCAAGAACACAUGGGUGGCUGCCACUUCUCUCCCUUUCCUGAGAGGGAAAAACUCUCGACGCUGAGAGGAAUCCACCAACAGGCACCAGCACUCUGGCAGGCCACCGACCAAUGGAUUGACAUAGAGUUUGGCUGGGGCAGCCAGAGGAGAGCCUGGGCCGCUGAAUAACCCGACUUCAGGGGAAAACUAUUCUCCCUUUUGGCUCCCCCAUCUGCUGAGAGCUACUUCCACUCAAUAAAACCUUGCACUCAUUCUCCAAGACCACGUGUGAUUUGAUUUUUCUGGUACACCUAGGUAACAACCGCGGGAUACAGAAAGCCCUCUGUCUUUGGGUUAAGGAAUGGGUCUAAUUGAGC